CCUACGGGAGGCAGCAGUAGGGAAUAUUGCUCAAUGGGGGAAACCCUGAAGCAGCAACGCCGCGUGGAGGAUGAAGGUUUUAGGAUUGUAAACUCCUUUUGUUAGAGAAGAUAAUGAGGGUAUCGAACGAAUAAGCAACGGCUAAUUCCGUGCACGCAGCCGAGGUAAUAAGGAGGGUGCAAGCGUUACUCGGAAUCACUGGGCGUAAAGAGCGCGUAGGCGGGACAGCAAGUCAGAUGUGAAAGCCUAUGGCUUAACCAUAGAACUGCAUUUGCAACUGUUAUUCUAGAGUAUGGGAGAGGUAGGUGGAAUUCUUGGUGUAGGGGUAAAAUCCGUAGAGAUCACGAGGAAUACUCAUUGCGAAGGCGACCUGCUAGAACAUAACUGACGCUGAUGCGCGAAAGCGUGGGGAGCAAACAGGAUUAGAUACCCCAGUAGUC
This 440-nucleotide ribosomal RNA is filed under the name uncultured bacterium. Its description in RNAcentral is "partial 16S ribosomal RNA". It matches the Rfam family "Bacterial small subunit ribosomal RNA", at positions 338 to 795 of the family's 1533-position model. The record is from RNAcentral.